GACGAACGCUGGCGGCGUGCUUAACACAUGCAAGUCGAGCGGUAAGGCCCUUUCGGGGGUACACGAGCGGCGAACGGGUGAGUAACACGUGGGUGACCUGCCCUUAGCUCUGGGAUAAGCCUGGGAAACUGGGUCUAAUACCGGAUAUGACUCCAUGACGCAUGUUGUGGGGUGAAAGCCUUGUGCGGCUAGGGAUGGGCCCGCGGCCUAUCAGCUUGUUGGUGGGGUGAUGGCCUACCAAGGCGACGACGGGUAGCCGGCCUGAGAGGGCGACCGGCCACACUGGGACUGAGACACGGCCCAGACUCCUACGGGAGGCAGCAGUGGGGAAUCUUGCGCAAUGGGCGAAAGCCUGACGCAGCGACGCCGCGUGAGGGAUGACGG
RNAcentral lists this ribosomal RNA (384 nucleotides) under uncultured bacterium. RNAcentral's name for it is "bacterial SSU rRNA". It matches the Rfam family "Bacterial small subunit ribosomal RNA", at positions 28 to 414 of the family's 1533-position model. The record is from RNAcentral.